ACUCUGUAGGUGCCCCGGGGCACAGGCAAGCGGACGAGCCAGUUAUCCCUCAGAGCUCCUGCUGCCUCGCCCGCUUUCUCUCGGAAACGUGAAGUGUGGCCUCAGCUGAAAGUGAGGUGGGCCUCAUUCAAUCAGUUGAAUUCUUCAAGAGAGAAAAACUGAAGUCCCUUAGAAGGAAAGAGUUCUGCCUUCAGACUGUCUUUGAACUUAAGACUGUAGCGUCGACUCCUGCCGGAAUUUCCAGCCUGCUGGCCAGCUCUGCAGAUUCACACUUGCCAGCCUCCACAAUCGCAGCUGAGGCGGAGGAACCCUAAGGGCUCAUUGAGAUCAUGGAUUUGCCCUUCUAUGCAUUGAUGGAGCACCUGCUGCCCACAGCGUCUGUAUUUGGUGCUGGGAUGCUGAGGACACUGAGAUCUUCAAACAGAGGCUGCCACUCUAAGCAAACAGAUCCCGAGCCCUGGACUCUGAAGCUUGGGCCCAGUUCUCCUUUUCUCCGGGUUUCAGAUCCCACUGUGAAGUGAGGGGACCCUUCUGGGUGUAAAGUUCUCUGAGAUGCCUUACAUGGAUUCCCACCACUGCAAGAUAACCAUCGUGUAAGUAUUCUGAUUGUUUUUCUUCCUCUCUGAUAAGGUUUUAAAAGUAAUAAAGGAAGAUGCCCCAAGGAAACAAGAUAACGGGAUUAAAGUGAGAAAAGGAGAGAACAG
Molecule: long non-coding RNA, 704 nt
Filed under: Homo sapiens (human)
Lineage: Eukaryota; Metazoa; Chordata; Mammalia; Primates; Hominidae
Description: non-protein coding lnc-TBC1D22A-4:19
Source: RNAcentral